CCUACGGGCGGCAGCAGUGGGGAAUAUUGGACAAUGGGGGCAACCCUGAUCCAGCAAUGCCGCGUGUGCGAUGAAGGCCUGCGGGUUGUAAAGCACUUUCGGUUGGGAAGAAAUACUCAAAGCUAAUAUCUUUGAGGGUUGACGUUACUAACAGAAGAAGCACCGGCUAACUCUGUGCCAGCAGCCGCGGUAAUACAGAGGGUACAAGCGUUAAUCGGAGUUACUGGGCGUAAAGUUCGCGUAGGGAUGUGAAAUCCCUGGGCUUAACCUAGGAACGGCAUUCGAUACUGGAAGUCUAGAGUAUGGUAGAGGAAAGUGGAAUUCCCGGUGUAGUGGUAAAAUACGUAGAUAUCGGGAGGAACACCAGUGGCGAAGGCGGCUUUCUGGACCAAUACUGACGCUGAGGCGCGAAAGCGUGGGGAUCAAACAGGAUUAGAUACCCGGGUAGUC
RNAcentral lists this ribosomal RNA (450 nucleotides) under uncultured bacterium. RNAcentral describes it as "partial 16S ribosomal RNA". It matches the Rfam family "Bacterial small subunit ribosomal RNA", at positions 338 to 795 of the family's 1533-position model. The record is from RNAcentral.